AAAAAACCCGUAACCCCCUGGGGUUAUCCUGCGCUUGGAAGAAGAACUAGAAAAAGGAAAAAAUAUAGUGAGACUUUGAUUCUUCGUCGCCGUAGUAAAUAGGAGAGAAAAUCGAAUUUCUUUCUUCGUCUUAAAAAAAAUAGGAGUUAAUUAACUGUGACACGUUCACUAAAAAAAAAUCCUUUUGUAGCAAAGCAUUUAUUAAGAAAAAUAGAGAAGCUUAAUACAAAGGCGGAAAAAGAAAUCAUAAUAACUUGGUCCCGGGCAUCUACUAUUAUACCCACAAUGAUUGGCCAUACUAUCGCUAUACAUAAUGGAAGGGAACACUUACCCGUUUAUAUAAUCGACCUUAUGGUAGGACAUAAAUUGGGAGAAUUUUCACCUACUAUAAAUUUUAGAGGACACGCGAAAAAUGAUAAUAGAUCUCGUCGUUAAUUAAAUGAAUUCAAAAAAAUGAAUAAUGAAUAUAAUUUUUUUUUUUAGUGAGAGGUAAACCUUAUGAUAAAGAAGAAAAAGAAGAAAUCAUAUACUUCCGUAUAUGCUUUAGGGCAAUAUAUAUCUAUGUCUGCCCACAAAGCACGGAGAGUUAUUGAUCAGAUCCGUGGACGUUCCUACGAAGAAGCACUUAUGAUAUUAGAACUUAUGCCGUAUCGAGGAUGUUAUCCCAUUUUUAAAUUAGUUUAUUCUGCAGCAGCAAAUGCUAGUCACAAUAAGGGUUUCAAAGAAACCAAUUUAGUCAUUAGUAAAGCUGAAGUGAAUCAAGGAAAUACGGUGAAAAAAUUAAAACCUCGGGCACGAGGACGGAGUUACCCAAUAAAAAGAUCGACUUGUCAUAUAACUAUCGUAUUGGAAGAUAUAUCCUUAUAUCAACAAUAUGAAGAAUAUUUAAUGUAUUUAAAAAAACCUGGAUGCAGCAAUGAAAACAUAAAUCUAACAUGUUACGAUACAUAUAGUAGUGGAGGCCCAUGGGACAAAAAAUAAAUCCACUUGGUUUCAGACUUGGUACAACCCAAAGUCAUCAUUCUAUUUGGUUUGCACAACCAAAAAAGUAUUCUGAAGGUUUAGAAGAAGAUAAAAAAAUACGAGACUGUAUUAAAAAUUAUGUCCAAAAAAAUAUAAGAAUAUCCUCUGGUAUGGAGGGAAUUGCACGUAUCGAAAUUCAAAAAAGAAUCGAUCUCAUUCAGAUCAUAAUCUAUAUGGGAUUUCCUAAAUUAUUAAUUGAAGAUAAACCCCGAAGAAUCGAAGAAUUACAGAUGAAUGUUCAAAAAGAACUUAAUUGUGUCAAUAGAAAACUCAACAUUGCUAUUACCCGAAUUUCCAAUCCGUAUGGGCAUCCUAAUAUUCUUGCAGAAUUUAUAGCUGGCCAAUUAAAAAAUCGCGUUUCUUUUCGAAAAGCAAUGAAAAAAGCUAUUGAAUUAACUGAACAGGCGAAUACAAAAGGAAUUCAAGUACAAAUUGCAGGACGUAUCGACGGAAAAGAAAUUGCACGUGUUGAAUGGAUCAGAGAAGGCAGAGUUCCUUUACAAACAAUUGAAGCUAAAAUUGAUUAUUGUUCCUAUACAGUUCGAACUAUUUAUGGGGUUUUAGGAAUAAAAAUUUGGAUAUUCGUAGACGAAGAAUAAAAAAACUUUAUUUGUCUCUACAUUUUAUCCAAUGAUAAAAAACGAAAACUAUGUAGUAUAACACUAUAAAGAAAUAAAAAUAAAAACUUGUAGUCUUCUUUUUUAUGUUUAAGAAAAAAAAAUAAGCAAUUCUAUAAGGUUGAAUAAACAUUUCCAUCAAAACUCCUUUGAUAUAAUUGCUAUGCUUAGUGUGUGACUCGUUGGUUUAGGGUUAGAUUACGAUAAAAAAAAAGAACUUACCAACUAAUAACUACAGCAUUAAUAAAUAACCUAAGCAACUCAUUGCUUCGCAUUAUCUGGAUCCAAAAAAUUAGUCAAGAUAUGAUAGGCUGAUCAUAUCAUUGGAGCAACUGACUAAAAAAAAAGAAUAAAGAAAGAUGAUUAUUAAGUUAUGAAAGGUAAUCAAAAAGUAUGCGGAUAAAUGGAAGGAUGAAAGAAAGAGCGAAAAAAUUGAAUAUUAAUGAUAUAUGAUUCCAAUUUGGAAAAUCUAUGAGGUCACUGUAAGAAAAGCAAUGUAAUAAAGCAUCAAUACAGAUUCAUUCAUAAUAAUUAGAUAAAUCUGUUCCGAAAACAAAAAAUUAAGAGCCUUGAGCCAAUAAAAACUGAGAAAAUUGCCUAAAAAAAAAAAAAAGAAAUUCAAAAUUUCAUGUAAAAGCUCCAUUGUAGAAUUCAGGCCUAAUGAUUAAUCAAGAAGCGAUGGGAACGACGGAACCCAUGAAUAUAUAGGAUUCUAGUGAACAAGAAAUCUUAGUAAUUCAUUGGACAGGAUGGCGGAAUAAACCAGAAACUUUAUUAUCUAUUCUGAUUUCUUAUUUUGAUUCUGAGACCUCGGGGGAUAAACAGCAAACUUAAAUAGAUAUUGAAAGAGUAAAUAUUCGCCGGCGAAAAAUUGGUUUUUUUUUUCAAAUAAAAACAGUAAUAAAAGAUGAAAAAAACAAUGAAAAAAAUAAAAUAAGGAUUUGUUAUAAUAUCCUAACUCUAAUAAAAAUUACAUUUGUAAUGAUGAUAUUACGUUAUUUUUAAAUAAAUCGAAAUAAAAUUGAUCUUUGAUUCUAUUUCAAAAAAGACAUACACAAAUUUAGAAGAGAUAAGAUGAAAUAAAAAAAAAUACCAUGAUUAAUAGGAUUAAUCAUUAACUACAUCUAUAUCUUAAUUAAUCCUUUUAUUCGCGAGGAGCUGGAUGAGAAGAAACUCUCACGUCCAGUUCUGCAGUAGAGAUGGUAGAAAAAACCCAUCAACUAUAACCCAAAAAGAACCAAAUUUCGUAAACAACAUCGAGGAAGACUAAAAGGAAUAUCCUCUCGUGGGAAUCGUAUUUGUUUUGGCAGAUAUGCUCUUCAAACACUUGAACCCGCUUGGAUUACAUCUAGACAAAUAGAAGCAGGGCGACGAGCAAUGACACGAAAUAUACGACGUGGUGGAAAAAUUUGGGUACGUAUAUUUCCAGACAAGCCAGUUACAGUAAGACCCGCGGAAACGCGUAUGGGUUCUGGGAAAGGAUCCCCAGAGUACUAGGUAGCUGUGGUUAAACCAGGUAAAAUCCUUUAUGAAAUGGGUGGUGUACCAGAAAAUAUAGCCAGAAAAGCUAUUUCAAUCGCGGCAUCAAAAAUGCCUAUAAAAACCCAAUUCAUUAUUUCUGAAUAGGAAUAUAGAAUGAAAAAGCUAAAUAACAUUUAAGGAUAAAAAGAUUAUAAGUUUUUUUUUGACAAACAAUAUUUUUUUUACUUCGUCCUUUGCACUAAAAGAAGAGAUACAAAAAUAUGAUUCAACCACAAACCUAUUUGAAUGUAGCAGACAACAGCGGGGCUCGAAAAUUGAUGUGUAUUCGAAUAAUAGGAGCUAGUAAUCGCCGCUAUGCUCAUAUUGGUGACGUUAUUGUUGCUGUAAUCAAGGAAGCAAUCCCAAAUACUACUCUAGAAAGAUCAGAAGUGGUCAGAGCUGUAAUUGUACGUACUUGUAAAGAACUCAAACGUAAGAAUGGGACGAUAAUACGAUAUGACGACAAUGCCGCAGUUGUCAUUGAUCAAGAAGGAAAUCCAAAAGGAACUCGCGUUUUUGGGGCGAUCCCACGGGAAUUGAGACAAUUAAACUUUACUAAAAUAGUUUCAUUAGCUCCUGAAGUAUUAUAAGACCUAAAUAUCGAUAGUUAAUAUAGGAUAGGAUUAAAAAAAUGGUAUUGAAAUCAAAUUAAUUAUAAUUAAUAGAUUGUGUAUCACGCAUAUACCCUUAAUAAUUUUAUAUAUUAAUAAUUGAAUUCAUAUAUUAAUAUAUAAUUCGUCUCUAUUUUUAUAUAAAUAAAAGAAAAAUAACAUGUUGAUUAUAUCAAAAUUAUAGAAC
Molecule: long non-coding RNA, 3959 nt
Filed under: Brassica napus (rape)
Lineage: Eukaryota; Viridiplantae; Streptophyta; Magnoliopsida; Brassicales; Brassicaceae
Source: RNAcentral